CAAAAUGAUGCUACAACCUGACUGGGGGAUGGCUCGGCUCGAGAGCUGAAGAGGGUCGUGACAAGCUGCGAUAAGCCACGGGGAGGCGCAUGAAUGCCUUGGAUCCGUGGAUUGCCUAAUAGGACCUCCUGACGCUUUGCCGUCAUUCCCACACUGGGAAAGGGAACCCACCGAAUUGAAGCAUCUUAGUAGGUGGAGGAAUAGAAAUCAAAUGAGAUUCCGUGAUUAGUGGCGAACGAAAACGGAAUAGGACAAACCGAAUCCCCUUGGGAAACCAUGGGGAGAUGUGGGGUUUGGAUUACCUUUUGUCUAAAUUCGUGAAACAGAAGUCGACCUGGAAUGGCGCACUACAGAGGGUGAAAGUCCCGUAUGUGUAACGAACAUGACCACGUGGUAACACCAGAGUAGCGUGCGUUGGAUAUCGCGCGUGAAUAUGGGAGGCAUAAACUUCCAAUCCUAAAUACUACUCGAGACCGAUAGUUUACAAGUAGAGUGAUCGAAAGCUGAAAAGUAUCCUUGACGGGAUGUGAAAAGUACCUGAAACCAGUCAGGAACAGGCUGAAUGGGCGUGAAAGCGAUGAUAUGAGCAGCGUCCAUUCGUGCGUUUCGAAAAAUGCCCCUGGGAGUCUUGAUUAUUGGCGAGGUUAAGCAGUUAAUCUGCGAAGCCGAAGGGAAACCGACAAGUCCGCAGCCCGUAAGGGUGAGGGACGGGAUGUGCUCGUCCGAAGUCAAUAGUGGAGAACCUGAAGCCCGACGAUCUAUGCCUGGCCAGAUUGAAGCCCGACGAAAGUUGGGUGGAGGAUCGAACAGUUGCUGAUGUGCAAAUCGCUCUGACGAGCUGGGUAUAGGGGUGAAAGUCCAAUCGAGUUGGGCAAUAGCAGGUUCCGCGCGAGACUACUCGUAGGUAGACCUCUGUAGAGACAGAUUACGCUGUAGAGCACUGAUUGGGUGUUUAGGGAGAGCGAUCUCUCGGCAUCCUGC
This 981-nucleotide ribosomal RNA is filed under the name Candidatus Thalassarchaeaceae archaeon. RNAcentral describes it as "partial 23S ribosomal RNA". It matches the Rfam family "Archaeal large subunit ribosomal RNA", at positions 1 to 1029 of the family's 2987-position model. Lineage: Archaea; Methanobacteriati; Thermoplasmatota; Candidatus Poseidoniia; Candidatus Poseidoniales; Candidatus Thalassarchaeaceae. The record is from RNAcentral.